CUGAUCUCGGAUGGCUGGCUUCAACCCACCAAUGUACCUUGCCACUUGCUGAUUUUCUGUUUCUGACAAGUUGUUGCGGGCAUUGAGGCGGUUGAAUUCAUCAGUGUAUUCGGUCACCGUCCGGGGGCCCUGUCGGCAGUUCUGGUACUGAUGGUAGAGUGCCUGCUCGUAGUCAGGCGGGAGAAAACGGCCACGCAAAUGUU
This 203-nucleotide long non-coding RNA is filed under the name Phoenix dactylifera (date palm). RNAcentral describes it as "long non-coding RNA (PDAC_LNC018501)". The record is from RNAcentral. Lineage: Eukaryota; Viridiplantae; Streptophyta; Magnoliopsida; Arecales; Arecaceae.